This 468-nucleotide ribosomal RNA is filed under the name uncultured bacterium. RNAcentral's name for it is "partial 16S ribosomal RNA". It matches the Rfam family "Bacterial small subunit ribosomal RNA", at positions 28 to 507 of the family's 1533-position model. The record is from RNAcentral.
GACGAACGCUGGCGGCGUGCUUAACACAUGCAAGUCGAACGGAAAGGCCCUGCCUUUGUGGGGUGCUCGAGUGGCGAACGGGUGAGUAACACGUGAGUAACCUGCCCUUGACUUUGGGAUAACUUCAGGAAACUGGGGCUAAUACCGGAUAGGAGCUCCUGCUGCAUGGUGGGGGUUGGAAAGUUUCGGCGGUUGGGGAUGGACUCGCGGCUUAUCAGCUUGUUGGUGGGGUAGUGGCUUACCAAGGCUUUGACGGGUAGCCGGCCUGAGAGGGUGACCGGCCACGUUGGGACUGGGAUACGGCCCAGACUCCUACGGGAGGCAGCAGUGGGGAAUAUUGCACAAUAGGCGGAAGCCUGAUGCAGCAACGCCGCGUGCGGGAUGACGGCCUUCGGGUUGUAAACCGCUUUCGCCUGUGACGAGGCGUGAGUGACGGUAAUGGGUAAAGAAGCACCGGCUAACUACGUG